RNAcentral lists this long non-coding RNA (270 nucleotides) under Lathyrus oleraceus (garden pea). RNAcentral describes it as "Pisum sativum (pea) long non-coding RNA (PSAT_LNC040330)". Lineage: Eukaryota; Viridiplantae; Streptophyta; Magnoliopsida; Fabales; Fabaceae. The record is from RNAcentral.
AAAGAAUAAAUAAUAAAUGAGAGUCAAGGGUUCAUUAUAGCAUCAAUUCCAUUGUCCAUCAUCACCAAAACUAUGAAGAUUUCAAAAUCUCCAUUGUUGAGGUGGGAAUAAGGGUUUCUUGAUUGUGUGACUAGUUGUUUAAUUUCUUGAUAUAAUGAUUGUUUUUGUUAAGAUUGCUUGAUUGUAAAUGCAUGCUUAAUUAUCACCCAUAAAAUGCUUGUAUUGUAUUUAAGAUGCUAUUAGGUUGCAUGAAAAAUAAAAAUAAAAAGG